UACGGGGGGAGCAAGCGUUGUUCGGAUUUACUGGGCGUAAAGGGCGCGUAGGCGGUCAGCACAAGUCAGUUGUGAAAUCUCCGAGCUUAACUCGGAAAGGUCAACUGAUACUGUGCGACUAGAGUGCAGAAGGGGCAACUGGAAUUCUCGGUGUAGCGGUGAAAUGCGUAGAUAUCGAGAGGAACACCUGCGGCGAAGGCGGGUUGCUGGGCUGACACUGACGCUGAGGCGCGAAAGCUAGGGGAGCGAACAGG
RNAcentral lists this ribosomal RNA (254 nucleotides) under uncultured bacterium. RNAcentral's name for it is "partial 16S ribosomal RNA". It matches the Rfam family "Bacterial small subunit ribosomal RNA", at positions 524 to 776 of the family's 1533-position model. The record is from RNAcentral.